Cucumis melo (muskmelon) is the source of this 4122-nucleotide long non-coding RNA. RefSeq lists it as uncharacterized. Lineage: Eukaryota; Viridiplantae; Streptophyta; Magnoliopsida; Cucurbitales; Cucurbitaceae. The transcript is spliced from 8 exons. The record is from RefSeq and is a predicted model, not a curated record.
CCACCCCAAACACGCCCUAAAGGUUCACGAUUCUCUUCCCCAAAUUUCCUCUUUUCCCCCAAAGACUUCACGAUCUUCUCUUCCGUCUGCUCGCAAGCCCUCAUUCAUCGCAAGUCGCCGCAUAAGAUUGGUUGCGUUCGUCCGCUGCUGAAGACUUGUUGCAUUCGUCCGCCAUUGAAGACUUGUUGGGUUCGUCCGCCGCUCAAGGAAAGUUGUGUUCGUCCACGUGAGCUUCCCCCCAAAUUUCCCUUUUCAUUUUCUUAACUUUCGAUAGGACAAAGGAAGAUGAUGAGGAGGAUGAUUGAGAGAUUGAUUCACACGAAGAGGAAGAUGGUUUGGGAAAUUUUGGCAUUGACGCCACCAUUGUAGCUUCGGAGGUUUGGGUUAUGGAACCAGCUUGAAGUAGAGUAGGUGUUGAAGGUGAUGGGAUGCGAUUUGUGAGUGACUUACGGAAAAGGAUGUCUCUGCCUCUUGGUUCCCUUCAACUUCUCUAAAAUCCAAACACCAACCUUCACAAUAUGAAGAUCUUCCAAGCAUCCUAAUCCCCUUGAAUUUAUUUGAUCAAUUGAACGUGAUAUUUUUUCCUAACCGGAAUCAAUCCUCGCAAAUGGCGUUGGCCUGCCGCCUGUGGUUUGUCACUCCACUACAGUCGCUUGCCAUCUCCAUCAACCAUAAAUGAGAUUUGGUAUAAACAAAAGACAGAAUAAUUGUCCCAGACUGUCUUGCAGUGCGGGUGGUUAACACUACAUUUUAAUUUGUGGGUGAUUUUGAGUAACUAUGCAGAAUUCUUGUACCAGGCAAGUUCUUCUAUCCUUGUUUCAAUUUCUUUAUUAUGCUAUAGAUUGUUUAGGCCGAACUAUAAACUUUUUGAGUAACUAUGUUUAUUUUAAUAUUGUUGGACUUCAAAACAGGUUAAUGAUAAAAUAUAUGCAUAUUUUAAAAUAUAUAAUUUUUUAUUUGAACAAACCUUAUAUACUUGAUAUCUAUAAACUGUCAAGUGAAAUUAUACUUGACGUGUAAAACCUGUCAAAAAUAAAACCUCUUUAUUCUUGACACUGGAUUAAUUGACGCAUAAAAACUGUCAAGUAUAAUUAUAUACUUAACGUUUUUUCAGUCAAGUAUAAUUAUACUUGACACUUAGAAACUGUCAAGUAAACCAUCCUUAUUCUUGACACUGGAUUAGUUGACACAUUGAAAAGCGUCAAGUAAACAGUUAAAAAGCGUCAAGUAAAUCCAGUUUUGUAGUAGUGCAUCCUCUACAAAUAAUCAAUUGAACGAUUCUUCCAAUGUUCAUAAUGAUCAGUAUACUUCUUGAGCUACCUUAUCAAGCUAUUAAAUCUUUGCAACCUUCUUCAUCUGUUAGUGCGAUCUCUUGUGCAGCUCCUAAUGUUUGGCACACGAGGAGAUGAUAAUUUCCUCUUAUGGAAAUUUCAAGUCCUCAUAGCCCUGGAAGCCUACGACCUUGAAAUCUUCCUCGAUCCCGACUCAGACUCAUCUCUAAAAAUUAUCACAACUGGUGGAAGACCAGUCAUCAAUACUGCGGAAAGCUCAUCAUCAACUUUUCGAACUAUGAAUCCGGUGUACAAAGUGUUGAAAAGACAAGAUCGACUCAUCUCAUGUUGGCUCCUUGAUUAAACGAGUGAAGAAAUCCUCAACCAAAUUCUUUAUUGCACUUCACCAAAAGACGUUUGGGACUAUUCGAGUCAUCUGAAUGCCAGGAGAAUCCUCUACGAGAACAAAUCAGAAAAAUCAAUCAUCCAACAACAACCACCAAUACAAUCAACGUGGUAGUCGUGGUGAUCACUCAAAUAUAGGUGGAAGGGGAACUCAAAACAAACUUGGUGCAAACUAAGUUUGGGCACAUUACCGAUCGAUGAAUUUUUUGAUAUGUUGCACGAUCUAAGCCACCCAGGUUUUUCCACCAUAUCUCUUUAGCAUAUACUAAUGUAUCUAAUCAUCCACAGAUGUUUGCUAUGGUUGCCUCUCCUGACCUGAAUCUUAAUAAUAAUUAGUACCCUUGAUUCGGGAAUACCAAUCAUCUCACCCACAACAUGAGCAACCUAUCUACUAGAUCUGUGUAUGGUGGAGAAAAUUAAAUUUAUGCAGUAAAUGGGUUAAGUUUUCCUAUUCUCCGUUAUGGUUCAUUAUCAUUCAAGUCUUCCAUUAUUCUCUCAAAAUAACUUGUUUUUAACAAUCUACUUCAUGUCUCAUCCAUUACUAAAAACUUAAUAAGUGUGUCUCAUUUUGCCAAAAAUAACAAUGUAUUCUUUGAAUUUCACCUGAAUCUUUGUUAUGUAAAGGAUCAAAGAACAGGCCAAACUCUUCUCAAAGGAUUGCUCAAUGAUGGAUUGUAUCAGUUUCACAUCUAAUCAUCCAUUUGAUACCCUAAUCACGUUCUAAACUACGCAAUGAUAUUACACGCAUCAAGAAUUGGCUAUGCAAUGAGAUUACUAUUCGAUGGAAGACGAUGAUUGGAGAGAUUGCAAUUAACUUGCAUUUUGCGUUCUAGCUACGCGAUAGUGAAUUGUUAUGCGAUUGAGUUUCCUUCAUCUGGAAGUAGUUGACGUCAUUAUUGUAUAAGAAAGCGGGGGGACUAAUUUGACUUUGCUGCCCAAUUGAAUUCAGGAUAAGGAAGUGACAGCGACAUGUGACGUUUUGAUAUUAGAUAAUUCUCACCCUCGGGCAGAGGUAAUCAUUCAUGCAUGAAAAGUUUCACCAGAGAAACUUAUAAGUAGGUGAUCUGACAUUGGAAAACGCAUUAUGCGUGAUGGAAUUAAUGGUGAUCAAUUGUGUUAAGGCUACUCCGCACAACCGCAACCCAACAAAAAUGUCUGGUAAAUGCUUGAGUUGAAGAAAUGGUACAAAGAUGUAACUGAACACCAGAGCAAUUCGAUGGUUCCGGAUUUGCAGAUGGGAUUGAUAAUUAGUACGGGUCACAAAGUGGGAAGAUUGUUUGAGCUCAUAUCCUUCCAGCCUUCUCCUCCUUCAUCCAUCUCUGCUCCUGUCACUAAAGCUGUCAGUGGCAUAUUUGUCUUGGGCACUCUUGUUCAGCGCUUUUAUCCCCACACCUCUCAGCAAAAUGGACGUGUUGAGUGUAAACAUCGCCACAUUCUUGACUCUGUAUGUGUCCUUCUUUCUUCCUCCUACCCUAAGAAAUUUUGGGGUGAGGCUGCUCUUACAUCCAUGUACCAUCAACCGUCUUCAUUCUUUCAUUCUUCAAAACAUUUCUUCUUUCAAAAGACUGUAUGGUACUCCUCUCAACUACUUUAAUCUUAAAGUUUUUAGAUGUGUGUGUUUUGUUCUUCUCUUCAUCCUCACGAACACACUAAACUCUAACCACGUGCUUGCCUCUGCCGCUUUCUUAGAUAUGACACAGAAUAUCUCGCCAUGUGACCCUUUCGGAGCAUAUUCUGUUCUCUCAUCUUCCUUAUUUCACACCUUCUUCUCAAGUUCCCAUAUCUUCUUCAUUGAUAAAUCUAUUGACCUCUUUCCUCUUUCUGAGUUCACUCUUGAAACUGACUUACUUAAUCUACACCUACUUCUGCAAGCUCGAACCAACCAUCUGCCCCUAAUGAUGUUCUGGAGCCUACAUUAGACAUUCCUCUUCAUUGUUCUACUCGAAUAAGGAAACCUCCUAUUCAUCUCCAAGAUUAUCACUAUUUUUCCACUAUUGUUUUCCUAGUUGAACCUACCUCUUAUCAAGAGGCCAGUACUGAACUUUUAUGGCAGAAAGCGAUGAGUGAUGAAUCACAAGCUCUUGAAAUGACGCAUACUUGGGACUACGUUAAUUUACCUCCCAGAAAAAGCCACAUUGGAUGGAAGUGGAUCUACAAAAUAAAGACUCGCUCUGAUGGCAAUAUUGAGCGUUAUAAGGCUUUUCUUGUUGCGAAAGGUAUUCCCAAGAAUAUGUCGUUGACUAUGAAAAAACAUUUGCUCAUGUGGCUCGAAUCACAUCUGUUUGAAGUCUGUUAGCAGUUGCUGCCGCCAAGCAGUGGCCUCUCUUUCAUAUGGAUGUUAAGAAUGCUUUCCUCAAGCUAAGCAAAGAAGCUAGCUAAUUGUGAUUACGAGUGGUUCUUCGUAAAAGUGUUUUAAAAAAUAAAAGGAUUUCUAAUGUGCUUAAAU